RNAcentral lists this ribosomal RNA (253 nucleotides) under uncultured bacterium. RNAcentral's name for it is "partial 16S ribosomal RNA". It matches the Rfam family "Bacterial small subunit ribosomal RNA", at positions 524 to 776 of the family's 1533-position model. The record is from RNAcentral.
UACAGAGGGGGCAAGCGUUGUUCGGAAUUACUGGGCGUAAAGGGCGCGUAGGCGGCCUUCUAAGUCGAACGUGAAAUCCCUGGGCUCAACCCAGGAACUGCGUCCGAUACUGGAAGGCUUGAAUCCGGGAGAGGGAUGCGGAAUUCCAGGUGUAGCGGUGAAAUGCGUAGAUAUCUGGAGGAACACCCGUGGCUAAGGCGGCUCUCUAGUACGGUACUGACGCUGAGGCGCGAAAGCGUGGGGAGCGAACAGG